CUGAGUACGGCGGAACACGUGAAAUUCCGUCGGAAUCCGGGAGGACCAUCUCCCAAGGCUAAAUACUCCCUAGUGACCGAUAGUGAACCAGUACCGUGAGGGAAAGGUGAAAAGCACCCCGGAAGGGGAGUGAAACAGUUCCUGAAACCGUGUGCCUACAAGUAGUUAGAGCCCGUUAAUGGGUGAUAGCGUGCCUUUUGUAGAAUGAACCGGCGAGUUACGAUUUGUUGCAAGGUUAAGCGGAAAAAGCGGAGCCGUAGCGAAAGCGAGUCUGAAUAGGGCGCAUAAGUAACAGGUCGUAGACCCGAAACCAGGUGAUCUACCCAUGUCCAGGAUGAAGGUAAGGUAAUACUUACUGGAGGUCCGAACCCACGCACGUUGAAAAGUGCGGGGAUGAGGUGUGGGUAGCGGAGAAAUUCCAAUCGAACUUGGAGAUAGCUGGUUCUCUCCGAAAUAGCUUUAGGGCUAGCCUCGAGGUAAAGAGUCAUGGAGGUAGAGCACUGUUUGGACUAGGGGCCCUUCUCGGGUUACCGAAUUCAGAUAAACUCCGAAUGCCAUGUACUUAUACUCGGGAGUCAGACUGCGAGUGAUAAGAUCCGUAGUCGAAAGGGAAACAGCCCAGACCACCAGUUAAGGUCCCCAAAUAUAUGUUAAGUGGAAAAGGAUGUGGGGUUGCUUAGACAACCAGGAUGUUGGCUUAGAAGCAGCCACCAUUGAAAGAGUGCGUAAUAGCUCACUGGUCGAGUGACCCCGCGCCGAAAAUGUACCGGGGCUAAACAUAUUACCGAAACUGUGGAUGAACCUCUUUAGAGGUUCGUGGUAGGAGAGCGUUCUAAGGGCGGUGAAGUCAGACCGGAAGGACUGGUGGAGCGCUUAGAAGUGAGAAUGCCGGUAUGAGUAGCGAAAGAAGGGUGAGAAUCCCUUCCACCGAAUAUCUAAGGUUUCCUGAGGAAGGCUCGUCCGCUCAGGGUUAGUCGGGACCUAAGCCGAGGCCGAUAGGCGUAGGCGAUGGACAACAGGUAGAGAUUCCUGUACCAGUGCUAAUUGUUUAACCGAUGGGGUGACACAGAAGGAUAGGGAAUCGCACGAAUGGAAAUGUGCGUCCAAGCAGUGAGUGUGAGAAGUAGGCAAAUCCGCUUCUCGCGAAGCAUGAGCUGUGAUGGGGAAGGAAAUUAAGUACGGAAGUUCCUGAUUUCACGCUGUCAAGAAAAGCCUCUAGGAAGAGUAGUACUGCCCGUACCGCAAACCGACACAGGUAGAUGAGGAGAGAAUCCUAAGGUGAGCGAGAGAACUCUCGUUAAGGAACUCGGCAAAAUGACCCCGUAACUUCGGGAGAAGGGGUGCUCUAUUAGGGUGCAAGCCCGAGAGAGCCGCAGUGAAUAGGCCCAGGCGACUGUUUAGCAAAAACACAGGUCUCUGCAAAACCGUAAGGUGACGUAUAGGGGCUGACGCCUGCCCGGUGCUGGAAGGUUAAGAGGAGUGCUUAGCUUCGGCGAAGGUACGAAUUGAAGCCCCAGUAAACGGCGGCCGUAACUAUAACGGUCCUAAGGUAGCGAAAUUCCUUGUCGGGUAAGUUCCGACCCGCACGAAAGGCGCAACGAUCUGGGCACUGUCUCAACGAGAGACUCGGUGAAAUUAUAGUACCUGUGAAGAUGCAGGUUACCCGCGACAGGACGGAAAGACCCCGUGGAGCUUUACUGCAACCUGAUAUGGAAUGUUUGUACCGCUUGUACAGGAUAGGUAGGAGC
This 1748-nucleotide ribosomal RNA is filed under the name Listeria monocytogenes. RNAcentral's name for it is "partial 23S ribosomal RNA". It matches the Rfam family "Bacterial large subunit ribosomal RNA", at positions 408 to 2154 of the family's 2925-position model. Lineage: Bacteria; Bacillati; Bacillota; Bacilli; Caryophanales; Listeriaceae. The record is from RNAcentral.